GGGGAUUUAGCUCAGUGGCAUAAGCACCUGCCUUGCAAGCAGGUGGUCGUGGGUUCAAUCCCCA
Molecule: transfer RNA, 64 nt
Filed under: Cavia porcellus (domestic guinea pig)
Lineage: Eukaryota; Metazoa; Chordata; Mammalia; Rodentia; Caviidae
Rfam family: tRNA
About the family: Transfer RNA (tRNA) molecules are approximately 80 nucleotides in length. Their secondary structure includes four short double-helical elements and three loops (D, anti-codon, and T loops). Further hydrogen bonds mediate the characteristic L-shaped molecular structure. tRNAs have two regions of fundamental functional importance: the anti-codon, which is responsible for specific mRNA codon recognition, and the 3' end, to which the tRNAs corresponding amino acid is attached (by aminoacyl-tRNA synthetases). tRNAs cope with the degeneracy of the genetic code in two manners: having more than one tRNA (with a specific anti-codon) for a particular amino acid; and 'wobble' base-pairing, i.e. permitting non-standard base-pairing at the 3rd anti-codon position.
Source: Rfam by way of RNAcentral